GGAAUAUUGGUCAAUGGACGAGAGUCUGAACCAGCCAAGUCGCGUGAAGGAAGAAUGGUCUAUGGCUUGUAAACUUCUUUCGUACCAGAGUAAAAUAUAUUACGUGUAAUAUAUUGCAAGUAUCUGACGAAUAAGCAUCGGCUAACUCCGUGCCAGCAGCCGCGGUAAUACGGAGGAUGCGAGCGUUAUCCGGAUUUAUUGGGUUUAAAGGGUGCGUAGGCGGGGAAUUAAGUCAGCGGUGAAAUCUACAGGCUCAACCUGUAAACUGCCGUUGAAACUGUUCUUCUUGAGUAUGGAUGAAGCAGGCGGAAUUAGUGGUGUAGCGGUGAAAUGCUUAGAUAUCACUAAGAACUCCGAUAGCGAAGGCAGCUUGCUAAGGCAUAUCUGACGCUGAUGCACGAAAGUGUGGGUAUCAAACAGGAUUAGAUACCCUGGUAGUCCACACAGUAAACGAUGAUUACUCGUUGUUUGCGAUAUACCGUAAGUAACUAAGCGAAAGCGAUAAGUAAUCCACCUGGGGAGUACGCCGGCAACGGUGAAACUCAAAGGAAUUGACGGGGGCCCGCACAAGCGGAGGAACAUGUGGUUUAAUUCGAUGAUACGCGAGGAACCUUACCCGGGCUUGAAAUGCAAUCGACGUAUGGGGAAACCUGUAUUCCAGCAAUGGCGAUUGUGUAGGUGCUGCAUGGUUGUCGUCAGCUCGUGCCGUGAGGUGUCGGCUUAAGUGCCAUAACGAGCGCAACCCACAUCGGAAGUUACUAACAGGUCAAGCUGAGGACUCUGCCGAGACUGCCGGCGUAAGCUGCGAGGAAGGUGUGGAUGACGUCAAAUCAGCACGGCCCUUACGUCCGGGGCGACACACGUGUUACAAUGGCCGGUACAGCGGGAAGCCACCAAGCGAUUGGGCGCGAAUCCCGAAAACCGGUCCCAGUUCGGAUCGGAGUCUGCAACUCGACUCCGUGAAGCUGGAUUCGCUAGUAAUCGCGCAUCA
RNAcentral lists this ribosomal RNA (991 nucleotides) under uncultured Bacteroidales bacterium. RNAcentral describes it as "bacterial SSU rRNA". It matches the Rfam family "Bacterial small subunit ribosomal RNA", at positions 358 to 1351 of the family's 1533-position model. The record is from RNAcentral. Lineage: Bacteria; Pseudomonadati; Bacteroidota; Bacteroidia; Bacteroidales.